Danaus plexippus (monarch butterfly) is the source of this 485-nucleotide long non-coding RNA. RefSeq lists it as uncharacterized. The transcript is spliced from 2 exons. Lineage: Eukaryota; Metazoa; Arthropoda; Insecta; Lepidoptera; Nymphalidae. The record is from RefSeq and is a predicted model, not a curated record.
UUAAUACGUCAUUAUUUGUAUAUUAUUUACAAGAAUUAUACAUAUGUAGUAGAAUAUAAUUUGUCCGUUCUUAAAUUCAGAACACCAUCUGGAUAAUAACGUUUUCCAUAUAAACGUUAGAUUUAAAACAGUUCAGAUAAGACGCAAUCAGCAGAUAAUUAUAGUUCGCUGUAAAACUAUAAUUGAAAGAACCAACGCUGCUUGUAAUCGAUCAAAAUCGAUUUUGUCAAGCCUUAAGGUUUUUAUUACACAGCCGAUUGCCCUGUUAUCUCUUAUUAAGGGGUGAAUGUACCCGCUAUUAUAAACAUAUAUCAACAGAAUCUUUAAUCCUGAAAAUCGAUGAUUUCCGAAUAAAAAGGAAAUCAAGUGCAACCGAAAAACCGAAAGGAUUGAAAGGUGUGAUGUUUUAUGAAAUCCCUUUUUUAAUUUAGACUAAUUUGUCAUGAAUACUGUGAUUAUAAUAAUAAAGUUGAUUUUUAAACCAA